This 1000-nucleotide ribosomal RNA is filed under the name Periconia verrucosa. RNAcentral's name for it is "SSU rRNA". It matches the Rfam family "Eukaryotic small subunit ribosomal RNA", at positions 108 to 1117 of the family's 1831-position model. Lineage: Eukaryota; Fungi; Ascomycota; Dothideomycetes; Pleosporales; Periconiaceae. The record is from RNAcentral.
AGUUAUCGUUUAUUUGAUAGUACCUUACUACUUGGAUAACCGUGGUAAUUCUAGAGCUAAUACAUGCUAAAAACCCCAACUUCGGGAGGGGUGUAUUUAUUAGAUAAAAAACCAAUGCCCUUCGGGGCUCUCUGGUGAUUCAUAAUAACUUCUCAGAUCGCAUGGCCUUGCGCCGGCGACGGUUCAUUCAAAUUUCUGCCCUAUCAACUUUCGAUGGUAAGGUAUUGGCUUACCAUGGUUUCAACGGGUAACGGGGAAUUAGGGUUCGAUUCCGGAGAGGGAGCCUGAGAAACGGCUACCACAUCCAAGGAAGGCAGCAGGCGCGCAAAUUACCCAAUCCCAAUACGGGGAGGUAGUGACAAUAAAUACUGAUACAGGGCUCUUUAGGGUCUUGUAAUUGGAAUGAGUACAAUUUAAACCUCUUAACGAGGAACAAUUGGAGGGCAAGUCUGGUGCCAGCAGCCGCGGUAAUUCCAGCUCCAAUAGCGUAUAUUAAAGUUGUUGCAGUUAAAAAGCUCGUAGUUGAACCUUUGGCCUGGCUGGCGGGUCCGCCUCACCGCGUGCACUCGUCCGGCCGGGCCUUUUCUUCUGGAGAACCGCAUGCCCUUCACUGGGUGUGUUGGGGACCAGGACUUUUACUUUGAAUAAAUCAGAGUGUUCAAAGCAGGCAUUUGCUCGAAUACGUUAGCAUGGAAUAAUAGAAUAGGACGUGCGGUCUUAUUUUGUUGGUUUCUAAGACCGCCGUAAUGAUUAAUAGGGACAGUCGGGGGCAUCAGUAUUCAAUUGUCAGAGGUGAAAUUCUUGGAUUUAUUGAAGACUAACUACUGCGAAAGCAUUUGCCAAGGAUGUUUUCAUUAAUCAGUGAACGAAAGUUAGGGGAUCGAAGACGAUCAGAUACCGUCGUAGUCUUAACCAUAAACUAUGCCGACUAGGGAUCGGGCGGUGUUAUUAUUUUGACUCGCUCGGCACCUUACGAGAAAUCAAAGUGUUUGGGUUCUGG